Molecule: ribosomal RNA, 444 nt
Filed under: uncultured bacterium
Lineage: Bacteria
Description: bacterial SSU rRNA
Rfam family: Bacterial small subunit ribosomal RNA
Source: RNAcentral
CCAGACUCCUACGGGAGGCAGCAGUGGGGAAUAUUGCACAAUGGGGGAAACCCUGAUGCAGCGACGCCGCGUGAGUGAAGAAGUAAUUCGUUAUGUAAAGCUCUAUCAGCAGGGAAGAAGAUGACGGUACCUGACUAAGGAGCCCCAGCUAACUACGUGCCAGCAGCCGCGGUAAUACGUAGGGGGCAAGCGUUAUCCGGAUUUACUGGGUGUAAAGGGAGCGUAGACGGCGAUGCAAGCCAGAUGUGAAAGCCCGGGGCUCAACCCCGGGACUGCAUUUGGAACUGUGUGGCUGGAGUGUCGGAGAGGCAGGCGGAAUUCCUAGUGUAGCGGUGAAAUGCGUAGAUAUUAGGAGGAACACCAGUGGCGAAGGCGGUCUGCUGGACAGCAACUGACGCUGAGGCGCGAAAGCGUGGGGAGCAAACAGGAUUAGAUACCCUGGUA